This 481-nucleotide ribosomal RNA is filed under the name uncultured bacterium. RNAcentral describes it as "partial 16S ribosomal RNA". It matches the Rfam family "Bacterial small subunit ribosomal RNA", at positions 28 to 523 of the family's 1533-position model. The record is from RNAcentral.
GACGAACGCUGGCGGCGUGCCUAACACAUGCAAGUCGAACGGAGAUACGAUUUCGGUUGUAUCUUAGUGGCGAACGGGUGAGUAACGCGUGAACAACCUGACUCUUAGAGGGGGAUAACACUCGGAAACGGGUGCUAAUACCACAUAAGACCACGACCCGGCAUCGGGAUGAGGUCAAAGGAGCAAUCCGCUGAGAGAGGGGUUCGCGUCCCAUUAGAUAGAUGGCGGGGUAACGGCCCACCAUGUCGACGAUGGGUAGCCGAGCUGAGAGGCUGAUCGGCCACACUGGAACUGAGACACGGUCCAGACUCCUACGGGAGGCAGCAGUGGGGAAUAUUGGGCAAUGGGCGCAAGCCUGACCCAGCAACGCCGCGUGAGGGGAGAAGGCUUUCGGGUUGUAAACCUCUGUCCUUGGUGACGAAACAAAUGACGGUAGCCAAGGAGGAAGCCCCGGCUAACUACGUGCCAGCCGCCGCUGUAA